GCUCAGAUUGAACGCUGGCGGCAGGCCUAACACAUGCAAGUCGAGCGGUAACACAGGGAGCUUGCUCCUGGGUGACGAGCGGCGGACGGGUGAGUAAUGUCUGGGAAACUGCCCGAUGGAGGGGGAUAACUACUGGAAACGGUAGCUAAUACCGCAUAACGUCUUCGGACCAAAGAGGGGGACCUUCGGGCCUCUUGCCAUCGGAUGUGCCCAGAUGGGAUUAGCUAGUAGGUGGGGUAAUGGCUCACCUAGGCGACGAUCCCUAGCUGGUCUGAGAGGAUGACCAGCCACACUGGAACUGAGACACGGUCCAGACUCCUACGGGAGGCAGCAGUGGGGAAUAUUGCACAAUGGGCGCAAGCCUGAUGCAGCCAUGCCGCGUGUAUGAAGAAGGCCUUCGGGUUGUAAAGUACUUUCAGCGAGGAGGAAG
RNAcentral lists this ribosomal RNA (430 nucleotides) under Buttiauxella sp. R-45774. RNAcentral describes it as "bacterial SSU rRNA". It matches the Rfam family "Bacterial small subunit ribosomal RNA", at positions 22 to 450 of the family's 1533-position model. Lineage: Bacteria; Pseudomonadati; Pseudomonadota; Gammaproteobacteria; Enterobacterales; Enterobacteriaceae. The record is from RNAcentral.